Molecule: transfer RNA, 73 nt
Filed under: Eleotris fusca (dusky sleeper)
Lineage: Eukaryota; Metazoa; Chordata; Actinopteri; Gobiiformes; Eleotridae
Description: tRNA-Val
Rfam family: tRNA
About the family: Transfer RNA (tRNA) molecules are approximately 80 nucleotides in length. Their secondary structure includes four short double-helical elements and three loops (D, anti-codon, and T loops).
Source: RNAcentral
CAGAACGUAGCUAAACUAGCCAUAGCAUCUCCCUUACACCGAGAAGAUGCCCGUGCAAAUCGGGCCGAACUGA